CCCUCUUCCCUUCAUUUUACAAACCCUAGCCAAUGCACCACUCUAUUGAGCAUCGCUGUUCGUCGUCACCGUCGUCUUCACCAUUCAAGCCAAGUUUGGUCCAAAAUCAAGCUUUGCUUUUGAUGAUGAGAUUGAUGAUUAACUCAAGGCUUAUGGUCUGCAUGAAUGAUUCACUUGCAAAAUGGUGGAUUAAAAUGGAAUGUAGGUAGUAGCUUUGGAAACCCAAGGAUGAGUGGAGGUAUUCGAAUUAUAAGGGAUGCAGGGGAAUUUUGUUGCUGCCUUCUCAACAAAUUAUGGAAUUGGUUUUAAUAGUUUGGUAGAGGUUUUAAUGGAUUUAACAGCAAUUGUAUAGAAAAAUAUGUUUAUUUUGCAAUUUUUCUCUUGGUAGCUUUGUACUAGUGUUUUGCUCACUCCUUAGAUUUGUAUUGAUUUGUACUAGUGUAUUGAUAUUGAUUUGUAUGGAAAAGAAACCAAACAGAUAGAGUGGGUGUAGAAUUUCAAGAAAUGGAU
This is a long non-coding RNA of Carya illinoinensis, 510 nucleotides long. RefSeq lists it as uncharacterized. NCBI's taxonomy places the organism in Eukaryota, Viridiplantae, Streptophyta, Magnoliopsida, Fagales, Juglandaceae. The record is from RefSeq and is a predicted model, not a curated record. The transcript has 3 exons.